GACGAACGCUGGCGGCGUGCUUAACACAUGCAGGUCGAACGGACAGACAGAGAGCUUGCUCUCUUGAAGUUAGUGGCGAACGGGUGAGUAACGCGUAAUCAACCUGCCCUUCAGAGGGGGAUAACAACGGGAAACCGUUGCUAAUACCGCGUACGAUUCAUGAACGGCAUCGUUUAUGAAUGAAAGGUGGCCUCUAUGUAUAAGCUAUCGCUGAAGGAGGGGAUUGCGUCUGAUUAGCUAGUUGGAGGGGUAACGGCCCACCAAGGCAAUGAUCAGUAGCCGGUCUGAGAGGAUGAACGGCCACAUUGGGACUGAGACACGGGCCAAAAUCCUACGGGAGGCAGCAGUGGGGAAUCUUCCGCAAUGGACGAAAGUCUGACGGAGCAACGCCGCGUGAGUGAUGAAGGUCUUCGGAUUGUAAAGCUCUGUUAAUCGGGACGAAAGAGUUCUGCGUGAAUAAUGCAGAAAAGUGACGGUACCGGAAUAGGAAGCCACGGCUAACUACGUGCCAGCCGCCGCAGUAA
RNAcentral lists this ribosomal RNA (524 nucleotides) under uncultured bacterium. Its description in RNAcentral is "partial 16S ribosomal RNA". It matches the Rfam family "Bacterial small subunit ribosomal RNA", at positions 28 to 523 of the family's 1533-position model. The record is from RNAcentral.